GGCAGCAUAGAGAGCUUGCUCUCUGAUGGCGAGUGGCGAACGGGUGAGUAAUAUAUCGGAACGUGCCCAGUAAUGGGGAAUAACUAGCCGAAAGGUUAGCUAAUACCGCAUACGACCUACGGGUGAAAGCAGGGGAUCUUAGGACCUUGCGUUAUUGGAGCGGCCGAUAUCUGAUUAGCUUGUUGGUGGGGUAAAAGCCUACCAAGGCAACGAUCAGUAGCUGGUCUGAGAGGACGAUCAGCCACACUGGAACUGAGACACGGUCCAGACUCCUACGGGAGGCAGCAGUGGGGAAUUUUGGACAAUGGGGGAAACCCUGAUCCAGCCAUCCCGCGUGAGUGAAGAAGGCCUUCGGGUUGUAAAGCUCUUUCGAAAGUGAAGAAAACUUAUUUCAUAAUAUGUUAUGAGUAUGACGGUAACUUUAGAAGAAGCACCGGCUAACUACGUGCCAGCAGCCGCGGUAAUACGUAGGGUGCGAGCGUUAAUCGGAAUUACUGGGCGUAAAGCGUGCGCAGGCGGUUUUGUAAGUCAGAUGUGAAAUCCCCGAGCUUAACUUGGGAACUGCGUUUGAAACUACAAGACUAGAGUGUGUCAGAGGGGGGUAGAAUUCCACGUGUAGCAGUGAAAUGCGUAGAGAUGUGGAGGAAUACCAAUGGCGAAGGCAGCCCCCUGGGAUAACACUGACGCUCAUGCACGAAAGCGUGGGGAGCGAACAGGAUUAGAUACCCUGGUAGUCCACGCCCUAAACGAUGUCAACUAGUUGUUGGUGGAGUAAGAUCCAUGAGUAACGUAGCUAACGCGUGAAGUUG
This 809-nucleotide ribosomal RNA is filed under the name Methylobacillus arboreus. RNAcentral describes it as "bacterial SSU rRNA". It matches the Rfam family "Bacterial small subunit ribosomal RNA", at positions 65 to 867 of the family's 1533-position model. Lineage: Bacteria; Pseudomonadati; Pseudomonadota; Betaproteobacteria; Nitrosomonadales; Methylophilaceae. The record is from RNAcentral.